AGUGAACGCUGGCGGUAGGCCUAACACAUGCAAGUCGAACGGCAGCACAGUAAGAGCUUGCUCUUACGGGUGGCGAGUGGCGGACGGGUGAGGAAUACAUCGGAAUCUACUUUUUCGUGGGGGAUAACGUAGGGAAACUUACGCUAAUACCGCAUACGACCUACGGGUGAAAGCAGGGGAUCUUCUGACCUUUCGCUAUUGAAUGAGCCGAUGUCGGAUUAGCUAGUUGGCGGGGUAAAGGCCCACCAAGGCGACGAUCCGUAGCUGGUCUGAGGGGAUGAUCGCCACACUGGAAAGGAGGACAGGCACACAACCCCUAAGGGAGGCACGGGGGGGAAUUCUUGGACAAGGGGGGAAGGCGAAUCCAGGACAAACGGCGAGGGUGAGAAAGACCUCGGGUUGGUAAGGCCUUUUGUUGGGAAAGAAAAGCAGCAGGUUAAUACCCCGCUGUUCUGACGGUACCCAAAGAAUAAGCACCGGCUAACUUCGUG
This 491-nucleotide ribosomal RNA is filed under the name uncultured bacterium. RNAcentral's name for it is "partial 16S ribosomal RNA". It matches the Rfam family "Bacterial small subunit ribosomal RNA", at positions 29 to 507 of the family's 1533-position model. The record is from RNAcentral.